AGUGAACGCUGGCGGUAGGCCUGACACAUGCAAGUCGAACGGCAGCACAGUAAGAGCUUGCUCUUACGGGUGGCGAGUGGCGGACGGGUGAGGAAUACAUCGGAAUCUACUUUUUCGUGGGGGAUAACGUAGGGAAACUUACGCUAAUACCGCAUACGACCUACGGGUGAAAGCAGGGGAUCUUCGGACCUUGCGCGAUUGAAUGAGCCGAUGUCGGAUUAGCUAGUUGGCGGGUAAAGGCCCACCAAGGCGACGAUCCGUAGCUGGUCUGAGAGGAUGAUCAGCCACACUGGAACUGAGACACGGUCCAGACUCCUACGGGAGGCAGCAGUGGGGAAUAUUGGACAAAGGGCGCAAGCCUGAUCCAGCCAUACCGCGUGGGUGAAGAAGGCCUUCGGGUUGUAAAGCCCUUUUGUUGGGAAAGAAAAGCAGCAGGUUAAUACCCCGCUGUUCUGACGGUACCCAAAGAAUAAGCACCGGCUAACUUCGUG
Molecule: ribosomal RNA, 491 nt
Filed under: uncultured bacterium
Lineage: Bacteria
Description: partial 16S ribosomal RNA
Rfam family: Bacterial small subunit ribosomal RNA
Source: RNAcentral